UAUUUUCGCACUGUAUUUAGUACACUAAAGGAUAGUGUAAAAGGGAAUGGGGUGAGAUGCCUCAACUUUUCCAGAAGCUGUAAGGUUCGUAUAAUUUGAAUACCGCAAUGCCACUGUUUAAAUAACGGGAAGGCCAAUUCAAAGGACCAAGUCAGAAGACCUGCUAAAUGCCAUUAUGUUAA
Molecule: non-coding RNA, 182 nt
Filed under: Cryomorphaceae bacterium
Lineage: Bacteria; Pseudomonadati; Bacteroidota; Flavobacteriia; Flavobacteriales; Cryomorphaceae
Source: RNAcentral